Molecule: ribosomal RNA, 1620 nt
Filed under: Aliarcobacter butzleri
Lineage: Bacteria; Pseudomonadati; Campylobacterota; Epsilonproteobacteria; Campylobacterales; Arcobacteraceae
Description: partial 23S ribosomal RNA
Rfam family: Bacterial large subunit ribosomal RNA
Source: RNAcentral
AGGGAAAGGUGAAAAGUACUCCAGCGAGGAGAGUGAAAUAGAACCUGAAACCAUUAGCUUACAAUCAUUCAGAGCCCUAUGAUUUAUCAGGGUGAUGGACUGCCUUUUGCAUAAUGAGCCUGCGAGUUGUGGUAUCUGGCAAGGUUAAGUCAAGUACGAAGCCGUAGCGAAAGCGAGUCUUAAUAGGGCGAAUUAGUCAGAUGCUGCAGACCCGAAACGAAGUGAUCUAUCCAUGAGCAGGUUGAAGCUGGUGUAAGAGCCAGUGGAGGACCGAACCCGCAGGCGUUGAAAAGUCUUGGGAUGACUUGUGGAUAGGGGUGAAAGGCCAAUCAAACUUCGUGAUAGCUGGUUCUCUCCGAAAUAUAUUUAGGUAUAGCCUUGUGUUGUAGCAUAUGGGGGUAGAGCACUGAAUGGGCUAGGGCUGCUUACCGCGGUACCAAACCCUAUCAAACUAUGAAUACUAUAUGUGGAAUCACAGGAGUCAGGCGGUGGGUGAUAAAAUCAAUCGUCGAGAGGGGAACAACCCAGACUAACAGCUAAGGUCCCUAAGUUACAUCUAAGUGGAAAACGAUGUGGAGUUACUGUGACAACCAGGAGGUUGGCUUAGAAGCAGCCAUCCUUUAAAGAAAGCGUAACAGCUCACUGGUCUAGUGAUUCUGCGCGGAAAAUAUAACGGGGCUAAGAUGUACACCGAAGCUUUAGAUUCAAUUUUUAAUUGAGUGGUAGGAGAGCGUUCUAUUCAGCGUAGAAGAUGUACCGGUAAGGAGCGUUGGAGCGGAUAGAAGUGAGCAUGCAGGCAUGAGUAGCGAUAAUUGAGGUGAGAAUCCUCAACGCCGAAAACCCAAGGUUUCCUACGCGAUGCUCGUCAUCGUAGGGUUAGUCGGGACCUAAGUCGAGUCCGAAAGGGGUAGACGAUGGCAAAUUGAUUAAUAUUUCAAUACCAACAUAUAAGCGCGAUGUGGGGACGCAUAGAGUUAAUCGAGGUCACUGAUGGAAUAGUGGCUCGAAGGACGUAGGCUGUUAAGUAGGCAAAUCCGCUUAACAUUAGGCCGAGAUCUUACAGGCUCUUGACACUCUUCGGAGGAGAUGGAGAAUCGAUGAUACUGUCGUGCCAAGAAAAGCCACUAAGUUUAUUAUAUGUUGCCCGUACCGUAAACCGACACAGGUGGGUGGGAUGAGUAUUCUAAGGCGCGUGGAAGAACCCUGGUUAAGGAACUCUGCAAACUAGCACCGUAUCUUCGGUAUAAGGUGUGCCUACUUUUGUAUAUGAACUUGCUUCAAAAAGCGAAAGAGGUUGCAACAAAGAGUCCCUCCCGACUGUUUACCAAAAACACAGCACUUUGCUAACACGUAAGUGGAUGUAUAAGGUGUGACGCCUGCCCGGUGCUCGAAGGUUAACUGAUGAUGUCAGCGCAAGCGAAGCAUUUGAUUGAAGCCCGAGUAAACGGCGGCCGUAACUAUAACGGUCCUAAGGUAGCGAAAUUCCUUGUCGGUUAAAUACCGACCUGCAUGAAUGGCGUAACGAGAUGGGAGCUGUCUCAACCAGGGAUCCAGUGAAAUUGUAGUGGAGGUGAAAAUUCCUCCUACCCGCGGAAAGACGGAAAGACCCCGUGCACCUUU